Molecule: long non-coding RNA, 1802 nt
Filed under: Nicotiana tabacum (common tobacco)
Lineage: Eukaryota; Viridiplantae; Streptophyta; Magnoliopsida; Solanales; Solanaceae
Description: long non-coding RNA (NTAB_LNC007912)
Source: RNAcentral
UCGGAGAUCUAGUUAAACACAGAGCCGAAUACAAUUAAACAAGAAUAUCCUAACUUCUAAGUAUACCUCCUGCCUACCAUUAUCUGCAGCACAAAGUAGCAGUAUAUUGUAAAUAAAACAGAGGCAAUUAAUGUGACAGUAAAAUUACUCUACAUGUUAUUACCUAAAAAGAGGAGUUGUGCUGUCUAGAAGCUGCAUCCACUUUGCAACAUAGGCUAAGGACCUGUUGAGAUAUACCACGGGAACUUAAAAUAGCAAAAAGUAAAGAAUUAUGCAACUAUGUGUUGCAUAUUAAUAAUUCAGAUCUAGUGCAUAUGAAAACCUCCUUUUUUGGAGUUCGUGAUCUUCAGUUGUUGAUUACCAUAUGCCAUCCCAUCUACAUGGUAACAACAAUGUACAUCCCUAACAUUGAGUUCUUUGUGUUGGCAAUAAAGCUUUCAUGUUUAAUAAAGGUACAAAUAAAAAGUAAAAGCUUAUUUAUUGUGAAAAAAUAUAUCCAAAACUGUAAGGUAGUGCAAAACUUAAUAUAAUCAAACAGUUGUACAUCGUUCUAACUUGACUCUACUAAUUCUAAAACUUUAUCCACCUAACUCGAUUACCCAAAAAAAACAGGAAAAUAGCAUAACUAGAUAGAAUCUAAGGAAAAAAAUGUAAACAUAAAUACUUUCUAGUAAGCUAAAAUAUAAAGAGUGCCUGCACCAUUAUUGCACCCAUCAGUUUCCUAUCUUGUUCUCAUUUUCUCCAAUUUUUGCCUCUAAACCAAAGUUCAUCCUAUUCAAUUUAUGCUAUAGUCCUUAUAUCUCCUUAGUUCUCACUAUAUAUUUAUUCUUAGGAGCCAUGUGGUUUGUUGAUGUAAUUUCUCAUUACAGAUUCAAUUCAAAAUUUAUUCUCUAUUUAGGAUAAUAUCUUCAUGUUCAAAUAAAAACACUGAUAAACAAUAACAACAUUUACCUAGAGGUACUUAUAUUGUUCUUCGAAAUUUAACUUGUGAAUCGAAUCUGAUCUAACUCAUAAAGAAAGGAAUUAUAACUAAUACGAAUAAUUGAAAAUGAUAUCUCUUCUUUCAAAGAUUUAAAGAACCUUGUUAAACAACAUAGCAAUAAUAUAAAUAUAACUGUUCAAAUGACAUUAUCUUGUUGUGGCAUUUUAUCAAACACCAAAUAGGGCUUUUAAAUUCAUCCUCUAGAAUAAAACACCUCAAGCAUAUAAUAUUAAAAGAUGAAUCAGAACCGGACCAUACGCAAUAUAGAGAAAACAAAUGAACCAAAACUAAACCCAAUCUCCUACGAUUACAAAACGAGUACAAAGAAGCGUCAAACUAAAGAAAAUCAAACUAACACAUAUUAUUGUAAAGUUGAAAAAAGAAAAGAAAAAAAGAGACUUUACUUACUCCAAUUCUAUGAUUGACAUAGGGAGAGAUGCAUGAUGAAGAAAGAGAUGGCAACAAGAAGCAUGAGAAAAUUAGAUACCUUUUCACCCAUAAGAGAAAUUAAAAAUAUGUAAAUAAGAGACAAAAAUCGAUCAAUGUACACAAAAUUUUAUCCUAAAUUGAUAUUCAGUCAACCAUUACCUUCACAUCGGAGUUUCUGUAAAUAACUCAAUAUUUAAAAUCAUGAAAGUUUGAAAGGGUAAUCAAAAAACAAAAGGGAUAUGAAUAGUAAAACAGAAAGAAAUUCUACGGCGGGAUUAGCAAGAGAGGGAAAUGAAAAUAAAUAGGGUUAACUUUUGGAGGGAAGGUAAAAUAAAAAUUUGCUCUUUUACUGGCCAUUUUUGUUAACUACCGAUAAAGAUGGACCUUUUCC